Molecule: unclassified non-coding RNA, 334 nt
Filed under: soil metagenome
Description: partial contains 5.8S ribosomal RNA, internal transcribed spacer 2, and large subunit ribosomal RNA
Rfam family: 5.8S ribosomal RNA (bases 1-120)
Source: RNAcentral
GAUGAAGAACGUAGCGAAAUGCGAUAAGUAAUGUGAAUUGCAGAAUUCAGUGAAUCAUCGAAUCUUUGAACGCACAUUGCGCCCGCCAGUAUUCUGGCGGGCAUGCCUGUUCGAGCGUCAUUUCAACCAUCAAGCCCCAGGCUUGUGUUGGAGCCCUGCGGCUGCCGCAGCCUCCCAAAACCAGUGGCGGGCUCGCUAUCACACCGAGUGCAGUAGUUUACUCUUCGCUCAGGGCGUGUGGCGGGUGCUAGCCGUAAAACCCCCAACUUCUCAAUGUUGACCUCGGAUCAGGUAGGAAUACCCGCUGAACUUAAGCAUAUCAAUAAGCGGAGGA